This 497-nucleotide ribosomal RNA is filed under the name uncultured bacterium. RNAcentral describes it as "partial 16S ribosomal RNA". It matches the Rfam family "Bacterial small subunit ribosomal RNA", at positions 28 to 507 of the family's 1533-position model. The record is from RNAcentral.
GAUGAACGCUGGCGGCGUGCCUAAUACAUGCAAGUCGAGCGAACGGACGAGAAGCUUGCUUCUCUGAUGUUAGCGGCGGACGGGUGAGUAACACGUGGAUAACCUACCUAUAAGACUGGGAUAACUUCGGGAAACCGGAGCUAAUACCGGAUAAUAUUUUGAACCGCAUGGUUCAAAAGUGAAAGACGGUCUUGCUGUCACUUAUAGAUGGAUCCGCGCUGCAUUAGCUAGUUGGUAAGGUAACGGCUUACCAAGGCAACGAUGCAUAGCCGACCUGAGAGGGAGGGCAGGCAGCAGGAGCCGGUGAACAGUCACGGACCCCAACGGGGGGCAGCAGCUGGGAAUUUCCGGAAAGGGGCAAAGGCUUGAAGGACCAACGCCGCGGGAGUGAUGAAGUGUUUCGGUUCUAAAAACUUUUUUAUAGGGAAAAAAAAUUGAGGUAAGUAACUAUGCCCAUCGUGCGGGUACAUAAACAGAAGACCGCGCCAAAUUCCGUC